This 32-nucleotide non-coding RNA is filed under the name Geobacter sulfurreducens KN400. Lineage: Bacteria; Pseudomonadati; Thermodesulfobacteriota; Desulfuromonadia; Geobacterales; Geobacteraceae. The record is from RNAcentral.
GGAAAAUCGGCGCCAAAUCAAAAUUGUUUUGA